Molecule: ribosomal RNA, 407 nt
Filed under: uncultured bacterium
Lineage: Bacteria
Description: partial 16S ribosomal RNA
Rfam family: Bacterial small subunit ribosomal RNA
Source: RNAcentral
AUUGAACGCUGGCGGCAGGCCUAACACAUGCAAGUCGAGCGGAGCGGCGGACGGGUGAGUAAUGCCUGGUAAUCUGCCUGGUAGUUGGGGAUCAAGUCCGGAUACGGGCGCUAAUACCGCAUACUAUCAGAUGAGCCUGGGUGGGAUUAGCUAGUUGGUGGGGUAAAGGCCUACCAAGGCGACGAUCCGUAACUGGCCUGAGAGGAUGAUCAGUCACACUGGAACUGAGACACGGUCCAGACUCCUACGGGAGGCAGCAGUGGGGAAUAUUGGACAAUGGGCGAAAGCCUGAUCCAGCCAUGCCGCGUGUGUGAAGAAGGUCUUCGGAUUGUAAAGCACUUUAAGUUGGGAGGCGUUACCAACAGAAUAAGCACCGGCUAACUCCGUGCCAGCAGCCGCGGUAAUUC